RNAcentral lists this ribosomal RNA (490 nucleotides) under uncultured bacterium. RNAcentral's name for it is "partial 16S ribosomal RNA". It matches the Rfam family "Bacterial small subunit ribosomal RNA", at positions 30 to 507 of the family's 1533-position model. The record is from RNAcentral.
AUUGAACGCUGGCGGCAGGCCUAACACAUGCAAGUCGAACGGUAACAGGAAGAAGCUUGCUUCUUUGCUGACGAGUGGCGGACGGGGGGGUAAUGUCUGGGAAACUGCCUGAUGGAGGGGGGUAACUACUGGAAACGGUAGCUAAUACCGCAUAACGUCGCAAGACCAAAGAGGGGGACCUUCGGGCCUCUUGCCAUCCGAUGUGCCCAGAUGGGAUUAGCUAGUAGGUGGGGUAACGGCUCACCUAGGCGACGAUCCCUAGCUGGUCUGAGAGGAUGACCAGCCACACUGGAACUGAGACACGGUCCAGACUCCGACGGGAGGCAGCAGUGGGGAAUAUUGCACGAUGGGCGCAAGCCUGAUGCAGCCAUGCCGCGUGUAUGAAGAAGGCCUUCGGGUUGUAAAGUACUUUCAGCGGGGAGGAAGGGAGUAAAGUUAAUACCUUUGCUCAUUGACGUUACCCGCAGAAGAAGCACCGGCUAACUACGUG